RNAcentral lists this transfer RNA (72 nucleotides) under Toxocara canis (dog roundworm). It matches the Rfam family "tRNA". Rfam says of the family: Transfer RNA (tRNA) molecules are approximately 80 nucleotides in length. The record is from Rfam by way of RNAcentral. Lineage: Eukaryota; Metazoa; Nematoda; Chromadorea; Rhabditida; Toxocaridae.
UGAGCAGUAACUCAGUGGCAGAGCUUCCACUUUAUAUGCCGAAAGACCCGGGUUCGAUUCCCGGCUGCUUCC